UACGUAGGUGACAAGCGUUGUCCGGAUUUACUGGGCGUAAAGAGCGCGCAGGCGGUCGUUCAAGUCGAGUGUGAAAGCCCCCGGCUCAACUGGGGAGGGUCACUCGAUACUGAUCGACUCGAAGGCAGGAGAGGGAAGUGGAAUUCCCGGUGUAGUGGUGAAAUGCGUAGAUAUCGGGAGGAACACCAAUAGCGAAGGCAGCUCGCUGGGACGUAACUGACACUGAGGCGCGAAGGCGUGGGGAGCGAACAGG
RNAcentral lists this ribosomal RNA (253 nucleotides) under uncultured bacterium. RNAcentral describes it as "partial 16S ribosomal RNA". It matches the Rfam family "Bacterial small subunit ribosomal RNA", at positions 524 to 776 of the family's 1533-position model. The record is from RNAcentral.